Molecule: transfer RNA, 73 nt
Filed under: Flexibacter flexilis DSM 6793
Lineage: Bacteria; Pseudomonadati; Bacteroidota; Cytophagia; Cytophagales; Flexibacteraceae
Rfam family: tRNA
About the family: Transfer RNA (tRNA) molecules are approximately 80 nucleotides in length.
Source: Rfam by way of RNAcentral
AGCGUGGUAGAGCAGUUGGCAGCUCGUUGGGCUCAUAACCCAAAGGUCGCGGGUUCGAGUCCCGCCCAUGCAA